CCUAAGAUUGUUUUCAGUUUUUUGAUACAAUGUUUUGACUUUUCAUCUUAUUUAAAAUUUUUUACGAUUAAUAUUUUUAUUAUUACUACAUGAUAAAACAUGAAGAGUACUUUAUCCGUGACUAAUUUUUUUAAGGUUUUGUAUAAAUUUUUUAAAUAAGACGAAUAGUCAAACGUUGGGCACGGAAAAAC
This 191-nucleotide microRNA precursor is filed under the name Oryza brachyantha (malo sina). Its description in RNAcentral is "MIR812 microRNA precursor family". It matches the Rfam family "MIR812 microRNA precursor family". The record is from Rfam by way of RNAcentral. Lineage: Eukaryota; Viridiplantae; Streptophyta; Magnoliopsida; Poales; Poaceae.